CUUCUUAAAAGCUGGAGACUCAUAGUGAGGCUGGAGGUGAGUUUCACAGUAAGAGGCCAGACACACCAGGCAGGACUUGACAGCUUUGUGUUUUCUCCCAGUACAGAAAUCACACUCCACAUCUCCAGGUCCAGCGUAAUGGUCAGCAGGAGUAGCUGCUUGUAGUCCAGUCUUCUUCAGUUUUUCCACCACUUCAGCCAGUAUGGUGUUUCUUUUCAGAACAGGUCUGGGUAUGAAGGUCUCUCUGCACUGGGGGCAGCUGUAAACUCCAAGACAAUCUUCCUCAUCCCA
Brienomyrus brachyistius is the source of this 291-nucleotide long non-coding RNA. RefSeq lists it as uncharacterized. The transcript is spliced from 3 exons. The record is from RefSeq and is a predicted model, not a curated record. NCBI's taxonomy places the organism in Eukaryota, Metazoa, Chordata, Actinopteri, Osteoglossiformes, Mormyridae.